CCUACGGGAGGCAGCAGUGGGGAAUAUUGCACAAUGGGCGAAAGCCUGAUGGAGCAACGCCGCGUGGGUGAAGAAGGUCUUCGGAUCGUAAAACCCUGUUGUUAGAGAAGAAAGUGCGUGAGAGUAACUGUUCACGGUUCGACGGUAUCUAACCAGAAAGCCACGGCUAACUACGUGCCAGCAGCCGCGGUAAUACGUAGGUGGCAAGCGUUAUCCGGAUUUAUUGGGCGUAAAGGGAACGCAGGCGGUCUUUUAAGUCUGAUGUGAAAGCCUUCGGCUUAACCGGAGUAGUGCAUUGGAAACUGGGAGACUUGAGUGCAGAAGAGGAGAGUGGAACUCCAUGUGUAGCGGUGAAAUGCGUAGAUAUAUGGAAGAACACCAGUGGCGAAAGCGGCUCUCUGGUCUGUAACUGACGCUGAGGUUCGAAAGCGUGGGUAGCCAACAGGGUUAGAUACCCUGGUAGUC
RNAcentral lists this ribosomal RNA (465 nucleotides) under uncultured bacterium. Its description in RNAcentral is "partial 16S ribosomal RNA". It matches the Rfam family "Bacterial small subunit ribosomal RNA", at positions 338 to 795 of the family's 1533-position model. The record is from RNAcentral.